GACGAACGCGGGCGGCGUGCCUAAUACAUGCAAGUUGAGCGCUGAAGGGUUGGUACUUGUACCAACUGGAUGAGCAGCGAACGGGUGAGUAACGCGUGGGGAAUCUGCCUUUGAGCGGGGGGACAACAUUUGGAAACGAAUGCUAAUACCGCAUAAAAACUUUAAACACAAGUUUUAAGUUUGAAAGAUGCAAUUGCAUCACUCAAAGAUGAUCCCGCGUUGUAUUAGCUAGUUGGUGAGGUAAAGGCUCACCAAGGCGAUGAUACAUAGCCGACCUGAGAGGGUGAUCGGCCACAUUGGGAUGAGACACGGCCCAAACUCCUACGGGAGGCAGCAGUAGGGAAUCUUCGGCAAUGGACGAAAGUCUGACCGAGCAACGGCCGCGUGAGUGAAGAAAGGGUUUU
RNAcentral lists this ribosomal RNA (404 nucleotides) under Lactococcus lactis. RNAcentral describes it as "bacterial SSU rRNA". It matches the Rfam family "Bacterial small subunit ribosomal RNA", at positions 28 to 420 of the family's 1533-position model. Lineage: Bacteria; Bacillati; Bacillota; Bacilli; Lactobacillales; Streptococcaceae. The record is from RNAcentral.